UAGUGGCGAACGGGUGAGUAACACGUGGGCAAUCUGCCCUUCACUCUGGGACAAGCCCUGGAAACGGGGUCUAAUACCGGAUAACACCGGCUUCCGCAUGGGGGCUGGUUAAAAGCUCCGGCGGUGAAGGAUGAGCCCGCGGCCUAUCAGCUUGUUGGUGGGGUAAUGGCCUACCAAGGCGACGACGGGUAGCCGGCCUGAGAGGGCGACCGGCCACACUGGGACUGAGACACGGCCCAGACUCCUACGGGAGGCAGCAGUGGGGAAUAUUGCACAAUGGGCGAAAGCCUGAUGCAGCGACGCCGCGUGAGGGAUGACGGCCUUCGGGUUGUAAACCUCUUUCAGCAGGGAAGAAGCGAAAGUGACGGUACCUGCAGAAGAAGCGCCGGCUAACUACGUGCCAGCAGCCGCGGUAAUACGUAGGGCGCAAGCGUUGUCCGGAAUUAUUGGGCGUAAAGAGCUCGUAGGCGGCUUGUCACGUCGGGUGUGAAAGCCCGGGGCUUAACCCCGGG
This 512-nucleotide ribosomal RNA is filed under the name Streptomyces sp. 313G01. RNAcentral's name for it is "bacterial SSU rRNA". It matches the Rfam family "Bacterial small subunit ribosomal RNA", at positions 93 to 619 of the family's 1533-position model. Lineage: Bacteria; Bacillati; Actinomycetota; Actinomycetes; Kitasatosporales; Streptomycetaceae. The record is from RNAcentral.